RNAcentral lists this ribosomal RNA (446 nucleotides) under uncultured bacterium. RNAcentral's name for it is "partial 16S ribosomal RNA". It matches the Rfam family "Bacterial small subunit ribosomal RNA", at positions 329 to 792 of the family's 1533-position model. The record is from RNAcentral.
AGCCAGACUCCUACGGGAGGCAGCAGUGGGGGAUAUUGCACAAUGGGGGGAACCCUGAUGCAGCGACGCCGCGUGGGUGAAGAAGCGCCUCGGCGCGUAAAGCCCUGUCAGCAGGGAAGAAAAUGACGGUACCUGAAGAAGAAGCCCCGGCUAACUACGUGCCAGCAGCCGCGGUAAUACGUAGGGGGCAAGCGUUAUCCGGAUUUACUGGGUGUAAAGGGGGCGCAGACGGCAGCGCAAGCCAGGAGUGAAAGCCCGGGGCCCAACCCCGGGACUGCACUGGAAACUGCCGGGCUGGAGUGUCGGAGGGGCAGGCGGAAUUCCUAGUGUAGCGGUGAAAUGCGUAGAUAUUAGGAGGAACACCGGUGGCGAAGGCGGCCUGCUGGACGACGACUGACGCUGAGGCUCGAAAGCGUGGGGAGCAAACAGGAUUAGAUACCCCCGUA